UGCAAUGCAUCUUAGUUUCCUUUGGCCA
RNAcentral lists this non-coding RNA (28 nucleotides) under Mus musculus (house mouse). Lineage: Eukaryota; Metazoa; Chordata; Mammalia; Rodentia; Muridae. The record is from RNAcentral.